GGCCGGGUUUUAGUAUAUACGAGUUUUUUUUUUUUUUGAAAUAAAAAAAGGAGCAAUACCCCCUCUUGAUAGAACAAGAGGAGGUUAUUGCUCCUUUUAGAUAUUUUCAAUCUCGGC
RNAcentral lists this unclassified non-coding RNA (117 nucleotides) under Kosopoljanskia hebecarpa. RNAcentral's name for it is "Schrenkia hebecarpa psbA-trnH intergenic spacer". The record is from RNAcentral. Lineage: Eukaryota; Viridiplantae; Streptophyta; Magnoliopsida; Apiales; Apiaceae.